Non-coding RNA from Biomphalaria pfeifferi, 292 nucleotides. The record is from the annotation of a GenBank genome assembly. Lineage: Eukaryota; Metazoa; Mollusca; Gastropoda; Planorbidae.
AAUAGUCCUUUUUUUUUUUUUUUUGAUGUUUAACAUCAUGGGGAAGUAACUGUGUUCAUGUAUUUGUGAUAGACUAACACGGAAUUAUGUGUGUUUGAAUAUAAUUUGGUUUUCUUGAGUUCAAGGGAGGGAAUUAUAAUUGAACUUUCCUUGCUGUCCAAGGGAGAGAAUGCUUUGUGUUAGUACAUACGUAAACAAUUCUGUAUAUUUGCAUGUAUGAAGUAAAAUGUUGACACUUUGUACAGGUUUUAAUAUUGACCAGAGAAAAUAAACAUGAACUAUUGGCUUUAAU